UCUUACAUCGUGUAGGAGACUUAUGCGGAUACAACCGCGUAGCCAGGAGAACUGGCAUUGGACUCCUAACUAGGAGAAAACAAAUG
RNAcentral lists this non-coding RNA (86 nucleotides) under unclassified sequences. RNAcentral's name for it is "freshwater-2 RNA". It matches the Rfam family "freshwater-2 RNA". Rfam says of the family: Aquatic, esp. fresh water. No recognized genes The record is from RNAcentral.